AUACGGAGGGGGCUAGCGUUGUUCGGAAUCACUGGGCGUAAAGCGCGCGCAGGCGGCUAUUUAAGUUGGAUGUGAAAGCCUACGGCUCAACCGUAGAACUGCAUCCAAAACUAUUUAGCUAGAGUGUGGGAGAGGAAGAUGGAAUUAGUUGUGUAGGGGUAAAAUCCGUAGAGAUAACUAGGAAUACCAAAAGCGAAGGCAAUCUUCUGGAACACUACUGACGCUGAGGCGCGAAAGCGUGGGGAGCAAACGGGAUUAGAUACCCCAGUAGUCC
RNAcentral lists this ribosomal RNA (274 nucleotides) under uncultured bacterium. RNAcentral describes it as "partial 16S ribosomal RNA". It matches the Rfam family "Bacterial small subunit ribosomal RNA", at positions 523 to 796 of the family's 1533-position model. The record is from RNAcentral.